Molecule: long non-coding RNA, 742 nt
Filed under: Theobroma cacao (cacao)
Lineage: Eukaryota; Viridiplantae; Streptophyta; Magnoliopsida; Malvales; Malvaceae
Description: long non-coding RNA (TCAC_LNC006393)
Source: RNAcentral
CAGAGAGUUUGUUGCUGUAAAGGUAAAGAAAAGAUAAGUUUGUCAAAUUUCCUAUUGAAGCAGGGAUUGGACCUGUGAAAUUGUUGUCAGACAAUGUAAGGCUAGAAAGAGAUCUUAACAACCCAAUUUCUUGGGGAAUGGAACCAGAGAGUUUGUUGCUGUAAAGGUAAAGAAAAGAUAAGUUUGUCAAAUUUCCUAUUGAAGCUGGGAUUGGACCUGUGAAAUUGUUGUCAGACAAUGCAAGGCUAGAAAGAGAUCUUAACAAUCCAAUUUCUUGGGAAAUGGAACCAGAGAGUUUGUUGCUGUAAAGGUAAAGAAUGGAUAAGUUUGUCAAAUUUCCUAUUGAAGCAGGGAUUGGACCUGUUAAAUUGUUGUCAGACAAUCCAAGAUCAGAAAGAGAUCUUAACAACCCAAUUUCUUGAGGAAUGAAAUUAGAGAGUUUGUUGUUAUUAAGGUAAAGAACGGAUAAGUGUAUCAUAUUUCCUAUUGAAGCCGGGAUUGGACCUGUGAAAUUAUUGUAAGACAAUUGAAGAUCAGAAAGUGAUCUUAACAAUCCAAUUUCUUGAGGAAUGGAACUAGAGAGUUUGUUGUUGUAAAGGUAAAGAAAGGAUAAGUUUGUCAAAUUUCCUAUUGAAGCAGGGAUUGGACCUGUGAAAUUGUUGUUAGACAAUGCAAGGCUAGAAAGAGAUCUUAAUAACCCAAUUUCUUGGGGAAUGGAACCAGAGAGUUUGUUGUUGUAAAG